GCACAAGCGGUGGAUGAUGUGGUUAAUUCGAUGCAACGCGAAAACCUUACCACCCUUGACAUGUACGGAAUCCUUUAGAGAUAGAGGAGUGCUCGAAAGAGAGCCGUAACACAGGUGCUGCAUGGCUGUCGUCAGCUCGUGUCGUGAGAUGUUGGGUUAAGUCCCGCAACGAGCGCAACCCUUGUCAUUAGUUGCUACAUUCAGUUGGGCACUCUAAUGAGACUGCCGGUGACAAACCGGAGGAAGGUGGGGAUGACGUCAAGUCCUCAUGGCCCUUAUAGGUGGGGCUACACACGUCAUACAAUGGAUGGUACAAAGGGUCGCCAACCCGCGAGGGGGAGCCAAUCCCAUAAAGCCAUUCGUAGUCCGGAUCGCAGUCUGCAACUCGACUGCGUGAAGUCGGAAUCGCUAGUAAUCGUGGAUCAGAAUGUCACGGUGAAUACGUUCCCGGGUCUU
This 456-nucleotide ribosomal RNA is filed under the name uncultured Acidovorax sp. RNAcentral's name for it is "bacterial SSU rRNA". It matches the Rfam family "Bacterial small subunit ribosomal RNA", at positions 923 to 1382 of the family's 1533-position model. Lineage: Bacteria; Pseudomonadati; Pseudomonadota; Betaproteobacteria; Burkholderiales; Comamonadaceae. The record is from RNAcentral.